AUGGCGUACGCGUCGCCGUACGUGCUGUCGUUCCUGCUGCUGCUGUCCAUGCCGGCGGUGUACUACCUGGCGCCGCGCCUGCUGAUGCCCAAGACGCUCCCGGCCAUCCCGGACGCCGACGAGACGGAGGACCUCGCGCUCUUCCGCCGCGCCGUGCUCCUCUCGGCCGCGCCCGCCGCCGGCUCCGGCUCCGGCUCCGGCGCGGCGCCCUCCUCCUUCGGCGUCUUCGGCCGCCGCCCGCAGGCGCGGCCCAAGGUGGCCUUCCUCUUCCUCACCAACUCCGACCUCGUCUUCGCGCCGCUCUGGGAGAAGUUCUUCGCGGGGCACCACGGCCUCCUCAACCUCUACGUCCACGCCGACCCCGCCGCCAACCUCACGCUGCCGCCGACCCCCUCCUUCCGCGGCCGCAUCAUCCGGGGCAAGGCCACGGCGCGCGCCUCCGCCACGCUCAUCUCCGCCGCGCGCCGCCUCCUCGCCACCGCGCUGCUCGACGACCCGGCCAACCAAUUCUUCGCGCUGCUCUCCCAGUCCUGCGUCCCGCUCCUCCCGUUCCCCGCCCUCUACCGCACCCUCCUCACCGACAACAAUGCCGGCCGCCACCGCCGCCACCGCAGCUUCAUCGAGAUCCUGGACAGCGAGCCCACGCUGCACGCCCGCUACUACGCGCGCGGCGACAACGUGAUGCUCCCGGAGGUGCCCUUCGACCGCUUCCGCGUCGGCUCCCAGUUCUUCGUGCUCGCCAGGAGGCACGCCGUCAUGGUGGUCAGGGACAGGCGGCUCUGGAACAAGUUCAAGGCGCCGUGCCUCGUCAAGGAGAAGGACUCGUGCUACCCGGAGGAGCACUACUUCCCGACGCUGCUCGACAUGCAGGACCCCGACGGCUGCACCAAGUACACGCUCACCAGGGUCAACUGGACCGACGCCGUCGGCGGCCACCCGCACACCUACCAGCCGGAGGAGGUCUCCGGGGACCUCAUCAGGGAGCUCAGGAAGUCCAACGGGACCUACUCCCACAUGUUCGCGCGCAAGUUCGCGCCCGAGACCCUUGCGCCGCUCAUGGAGAUCGCCGACUCCGUCAUCCUCCGUGACUAG
RNAcentral lists this ribosomal RNA (1092 nucleotides) under Triticum aestivum (bread wheat). Its description in RNAcentral is "partial small subunit ribosomal RNA". Lineage: Eukaryota; Viridiplantae; Streptophyta; Magnoliopsida; Poales; Poaceae. The record is from RNAcentral.